UUUGAGGGGAAUGCUGCGUGGUCCAAGGAGAUCGAUCAUAUAUAACUCUACCUUUCACUACACACCAAAUUCAUAAAUAUAUUCACCAAAGUUCAUCAGAUCAUUCAGAUGAAAUAAUAGUAUAUAACAUCUGCAGAUUAUGUUUUAUGUCUCCUCGGACCAGGCUUCAUUCCCCUCAAU
RNAcentral lists this microRNA precursor (180 nucleotides) under Phaseolus vulgaris (common bean). RNAcentral describes it as "pre miRNA mir-166". It matches the Rfam family "mir-166 microRNA precursor family". From Rfam's summary of the family: This family represents the plant microRNA (miRNA) precursor mir-166. Animal miRNAs are transcribed as ~70nt precursors and subsequently processed by the Dicer enzyme to give a ~22nt product. The record is from Rfam by way of RNAcentral. Lineage: Eukaryota; Viridiplantae; Streptophyta; Magnoliopsida; Fabales; Fabaceae.